This 496-nucleotide ribosomal RNA is filed under the name uncultured bacterium. RNAcentral's name for it is "partial 16S ribosomal RNA". It matches the Rfam family "Bacterial small subunit ribosomal RNA", at positions 28 to 507 of the family's 1533-position model. The record is from RNAcentral.
GAUGAACGCUGGCGGCGUGCCUAUACAUGCAAGUCGAGCGAACAGAUAAGGAGCUUGCUCCUUUGACGUUAGCGGCGGACGGGUGAGUAACACGUGGGUAACCUACCUAUAAGACUGGGAUAACUUCGGGAAACCGGAGCUAAUACCGGAUAACAUUUGGAACCGCAUGGUUCUAAAGUGAAAGAUGGUUUUGCUAUCACUUAUAGAUGGACCCGCGCCGUAUUAGCUAGUUGGUAAGGUAACGGCUUACCAAGGCGACGAUACGUAGCCGACCUGAGAGGGUGAUCGGCCACACUGGAACUGAGACACGGUCCAGACUCCUACGGGAGGCAGCAGUAGGGAAUCUUCCGCAAUGGGCGAAAGCCUGACGGAGCAACGCCGCGUGAGUGAUGAAGGGUUUCGGCUCGUAAAACUCUGUUAUUAGGGAAGAACAAAUGUGUAAGUAACUGUGCACGUCUUGACGGUACCUAAUCAGAAAGCCACGGCUAACUACGUG